Molecule: long non-coding RNA, 1465 nt
Organism: Hyaena hyaena (striped hyena)
Lineage: Eukaryota; Metazoa; Chordata; Mammalia; Carnivora; Hyaenidae
Exons: 3
Source: RefSeq, a predicted model, not a curated record
GAAUGAAUGAGAAAAAUAAUUCAUCCUUGUCCUCAAAAUCAUACACUGUGAAUUUAUAAGUGAACUUGAACUGUGGUUAUUGCCUGGAUGUGGCAUUCAAAUGCGACAGACUGACCACUGGUUGUAGAGAUGUCUUGAAGAUGCUGAAGAACAAACAGAAUUCAUAGAAUAGAGAAAACUCCUUCACCAUAUGCGAUGAUUUGAGAUGCCUGCUGUAGUUCAGCUCAGAUACAAUUUUUAUUCAAGAGGAUUUCUCUGGUGGUACCAUGAGUCAUAUACUGUGCUGGCUGCAAGGCAGAAUGAGGAAGACCUAGCUAGCUUCUUCCCUCUGGAACCUCACAGACCUAGAAGACAACACUUACAACAAAUACAAAUUGGUAUCCCAUGAAUACAUUAAGGUGAUGUGAACCAAGGUUUUGAGCACUCACUGGGAAACAGGUGUCAUAACGUGGGGCACUCAAGAAAAAAGACUUUUGUGAUGGCUCUAAAGGAAAAAUAGGGAUAAAACCAUUUGAGAAGGUGAAGGGAAUCUCUGACAACGGAAACAUCAAAGGCAAAGAGAUAAUGAACAAUAUCAUUUGCUAUUUACUAAGUCUUUACUAAGUGUUCAGCACAAAGCCAGGUGCUUUGCAUACAUUUAUAUCAUUGGGCUCUCACAAAAAACCUUUGAAAAUGAGUCUUACUAUGCUCUCCAAUUUACAGAUUAGGAAACUGAGGCUUCAAGAAAUGCCAUAACUUGCCCAAGUUUUCUUAAUGUGUCAGACCUGGGAUUAUAAUCAAAAUCUGUCUGAUUCUAAAGCCUAACUGUUAAUCCUUAAAGUACUGAAGGAAACUUGUGUUAAGAAUAUAGUAGGGUGAGAGCAAAGUGUAGCAGAAGAGAAGGCAGGGAGAGUUUGUAAAGGCCAGACUGUGAAGGGUUUUAUGUGUCAAAUAUCCAUGAAUUUGUUCUUUAUCUACUUUUUAUCCCUAGUCUUCUAACUCCAAGCGAGAAAACCUCUAAUUUUUCUCUCUUAACUCUCAAUGCUUAAUACUUAUAUUUCACUUAGUUAUAAUUAUGUUCUUUACUUGUUUCCUUCUCUGCACCACUAGGCAACAAAGUGCUUAUCAAAGGUCUUCUCACAGUACCCUUCUCAUUUAGUGAAAUGUGCACUACUCAUUUAGUGAAUGAAUGAAUGAAUGAAUGAAUGAGUGAAACUAAAGGGAUACCUGUGGGUAGUGGAAAGCAUAGACACUGGAUUUUGCGGUUCUGUGUCAAAGAAGUUAUGGUUGCCUUGGAGAAAUUGGAAACUGUCAGAUUAAUUUUAGGUCAUACCUAUAUGCCAGUUGAAAAUCAUAUAACCCCAGCAUUGCCCCUCAGGUUUCAGUGAGUGUGACAUCAUUAUGGGCCAACUGGGCUUCCUUCUAAAACUUGUAAGAAAAUUUGGGCCGAUCCUAAAAUUUGUAUGGAACCACAAAAGACCCCGAA